This 766-nucleotide ribosomal RNA is filed under the name Escherichia coli. Its description in RNAcentral is "partial 23S ribosomal RNA". It matches the Rfam family "Bacterial large subunit ribosomal RNA", at positions 2033 to 2798 of the family's 2925-position model. Lineage: Bacteria; Pseudomonadati; Pseudomonadota; Gammaproteobacteria; Enterobacterales; Enterobacteriaceae. The record is from RNAcentral.
UCAGUGAAAUUGAACUCGCUGUGAAGAUGCAGUGUACCCGCGGCAAGACGGAAAGACCCCGUGAACCUUUACUAUAGCUUGACACUGAACAUUGAGCCUUGAUGUGUAGGAUAGGUGGGAGGCUUUGAAGUGUGGACGCCAGUCUGCAUGGAGCCGACCUUGAAAUACCACCCUUUAAUGUUUGAUGUUCUAACGUGGACCCGUAAUCCGGGUUGCGGACAGUGUCUGGUGGGUAGUUUGACUGGGGCGGUCUCCUCCUAAAGAGUAACGGAGGAGCACGAAGGUUGGCUAAUCCUGGUCGGACAUCAGGAGGUUAGUGCAAUGGCAUAAGCCAGCUUGACUGCGAGCGUGACGGCGCGAGCAGGUGCGAAAGCAGGUCAUAGUGAUCCGGUGGUUCUGAAUGGAAGGGCCAUCGCUCAACGGAUAAAAGGUACUCCGGGGAUAACAGGCUGAUACCGCCCAAGAGUUCAUAUCGACGGCGGUGUUUGGCACCUCGAUGUCGGCUCAUCACAUCCUGGGGCUGAAGUAGGUCCCAAGGGUAUGGCUGUUCGCCAUUUAAAGUGGUACGCGAGCUGGGUUUAGAACGUCGUGAGACAGUUCGGUCCCUAUCUGCCGUGGGCGCUGGAGAACUGAGGGGGGCUGCUCCUAGUACGAGAGGACCGGAGUGGACGCAUCACUGGUGUUCGGGUUGUCAUGCCAAUGGCACUGCCCGGUAGCUAAAUGCGGAAGAGAUAAGUGCUGAAAGCAUCUAAGCACGAAACUUGCC